ACUUAAAUUGAAGAGUUUGAUCAUGGCUCAGAUUGAACGCUGGCGGCAGGCCUAACACAUGCAAGUCGAGCGGUAGCACAGAGAGCUUGCUCUCGGGUGACGAGCGGCGGACGGGUGAGUAAUGUCUGGGAAACUGCCUGAUGGAGGGGGAUAACUACUGGAAACGGUAGCUAAUACCGCAUAACGUCGCAAGACCAAAGUGGGGGACCUUCGGGCCUCAUGCCAUCAGAUGUGCCCAGAUGGGAUUAGCUAGUAGGUGGGGUAAUGGCUCACCUAGGCGACGAUCCCUAGCUGGUCUGAGAGGAUGACCAGCCACACUGGAACUGAGACACGGUCCAGACUCCUACGGGAGGCAGCAGUGGGGAAUAUUGCACAAUGGGCGCAAGCCUGAUGCAGCCAUGCCGCGUGUAUGAAGAAGGCCUUCGGGUUGUAAAGUACUUUCAGCGAGGAGGAAGGCGUUAAGGUUAAUAACCUUGGCGAUUGACGUUACUCGCAGAAGAAGCACCGGCUAACUCCGUGCCAGCAGCCGCGGUAAUACGGAGGGUGCAAGCGUUAAUCGGAAUUACUGGGCGUAAAGCGCACGCAGGCGGUCUGUCAAGUCGGAUGUGAAAUCCCCGGGCUCAACCUGGGAACUGCAUUCGAAACUGGCAGGCUAGAGUCUUGUAGAGGGGGGUAGAAUUCCAGGUGUAGCGGUGAAAUGCGUAGAGAUCUGGAGGAAUACCGGUGGCGAAGGCGGCCCCCUGGACAAAGACUGACGCUCAGGUGCGAAAGCGUGGGGAGCAAACAGGAUUAGAUACCCUGGUAGUCCACGCCGUAAACGAUGUCGACUUGGAGGUUGUGCCCUUGAGGCGUGGCUUCCGGAGCUAACGCGUUAAGUCGACCGCCUGGGGAGUACGGCCGCAAGGUUAAAACUCAAAUGAAUUGACGGGGGCCCGCACAAGCGGUGGAGCAUGUGGUUUAAUUCGAUGCAACGCGAAGAACCUUACCUACUCUUGACAUCCAGAGAACUUAGCAGAGAUGCUUUGGUGCCUUCGGGAACUCUGAGACAGGUGCUGCAUGGCUGUCGUCAGCUCGUGUUGUGAAAUGUUGGGUUAAGUCCCGCAACGAGCGCAACCCUUAUCCUUUGUUGCCAGCGAUUAGGUCGGGAACUCAAAGGAGACUGCCAGUGAUAAACUGGAGGAAGGUGGGGAUGACGUCAAGUCAUCAUGGCCCUUACGAGUAGGGCUACACACGUGCUACAAUGGCAUAUACAAAGAGAAGCGACCUCGCGAGAGCAAGCGGACCUCAUAAAGUAUGUCGUAGUCCGGAUUGGAGUCUGCAACUCGACUCCAUGAAGUCGGAAUCGCUAGUAAUCGUAGAUCAGAAUGCUACGGUGAAUACGUUCCCGGGCCUUGUACACACCGCCCGUCACACCAUGGGAGUGGGUUGCAAAAGAAGUAGGUAGCUUAACCUUCGGGAGGGCGCUUACCACUUUGUGAUUCAUGACUGGGGUGAAGUCGUAACAAGGUAACCGUAGGGGAACCUGCGGUUGGAUCACCUCCUUACCUUAAAGAA
RNAcentral lists this ribosomal RNA (1554 nucleotides) under Klebsiella aerogenes. Its description in RNAcentral is "16S ribosomal RNA". It matches the Rfam family "Bacterial small subunit ribosomal RNA". Lineage: Bacteria; Pseudomonadati; Pseudomonadota; Gammaproteobacteria; Enterobacterales; Enterobacteriaceae. The record is from RNAcentral.